Molecule: ribosomal RNA, 468 nt
Filed under: uncultured bacterium
Lineage: Bacteria
Description: partial 16S ribosomal RNA
Rfam family: Bacterial small subunit ribosomal RNA
Source: RNAcentral
GACGAACGCUGGCGGCGUGCUUAACACAUGCAAGUCGAACGGAAAGGCCCUGCUUUUGUGGGGUGCUCGAGUGGCGAACGGGUGAGUAACACGUGAGUAACCUGCCCUUGACUUUGGGAUAACUUCAGGAAACUGGGGCUAAUACCGGAUAGGAGCUCCUGCUGCAUGGUGGGGGUUGGAAAGUUUCGGCGGUUGGGGAUGGACUCGCGGCUUAUCAGCUUGUUGGUGGGGUAGUGGCUUACCAAGGCUUUGACGGGUAGCCGGCCUGAGAGGGUGACCGGCCCCAUUGGGACUGAGAUACGGCCCAGACUCCUACGGGAGGCAGCAGUGGGGAAUAUUGCACGAUGGGCGGAAGCCUGAUGCAGCAACGCCGCGUGCGGGAUGACGGCCUUCGGGUUGUAAACCGCUUUCGCCUGUGACGAAGCGUGAGUGACGGUAAUGGGUAACGAAGCACCGGCUAACUACGUG